This 362-nucleotide long non-coding RNA is filed under the name Mytilus galloprovincialis (Mediterranean mussel). The record is from RNAcentral. Lineage: Eukaryota; Metazoa; Mollusca; Bivalvia; Mytilida; Mytilidae.
UCCUGGAUUUAGAUAUUUCGGUUUUAAACGGGAAACUCCACACUAAAAUUUACGACAAAAGAGACGAUUUUUCGUUCCCUAUUGUUAAUUUUCCAUUUUUAGAUGGUGAUGCUCCUUUGGCACCAUCUUACGGUGUUUAUAUUUCACAACUUGUUCGCUAUGCCCGUGUCUGUUGUGACGUUUUUGAUUUUAACGAACGCAACCUAUGUAUUACUGGUAAAUUAUUAAACCAGGGAUAUUGUUACCAUAAAUUACUUAAAACGUUUACUAAAUUUUUCCAUAGAUAUAAAGAUUUGGUUUUGAAGUUUGGUUGUACCUGUAGAAAACUUAUUUCAAACGGGAUAGCACAUCCUCAUUUUUAC